RNAcentral lists this ribosomal RNA (253 nucleotides) under uncultured bacterium. RNAcentral's name for it is "partial 16S ribosomal RNA". It matches the Rfam family "Bacterial small subunit ribosomal RNA", at positions 524 to 776 of the family's 1533-position model. The record is from RNAcentral.
UACGGAGGGAGCUAGCGUUGUUCGGAAUCACUGGGCGUAAAGGGUGCGUAGGUGGCAUGGUAAGUCAGAUGUGAAAGCCUGGGGCUCAACCUCAGAAUUGCAUCCGAUACUGCUGUGCUAGAGUACUGGAGGGGUGACUAGAAUUCCCGGUGUAGCAGUGAAAUGCGUAGAUAUCGAGAGGAAUACCAAAGGCGUAGGCAGGUCACUGGACAGUUACUGACACUGAGGCACGAAGGCCAGGGGAGCAAACGGG